AGGAAAAGAGUAGAUCUACAGUUAAAGUUAUGAAUCUCUAAGCUCAAAUGUAGCACCACAGUGCAUGAAUCACAUAACUAAAGAUGAAUUUGUGUUCAGAUGAAGAUUAUCAACCUUUUGGAACCAAAAAAGUGAAGAAACAGUGGUGGUUUGAAAUUCCGGCACGGUGGUUUUGGAAUUCCGGCGGUGGUUUCGGUCAAGCUCGGUUCAGUUGAAAGAGAAGCAUGGAUGAAAUCUUGAAGAUUAUUGAGCUUGGAAGAUUCAAAGGAAGACAUGAGCAUGGACAUGGAGAAAUAUUGAAGAAAAUGGUGUGGACUUGGAAUAUUUUGAAUUUUUCCUUAUGUAAACAUAAUGAUGUAACUUUGAGAAUCCGUCCACCUUGUAAUUUGGAAUGAGUUAUGAACUUGAAUGGACUUUCUUGGAUUUGAAGCUUCGAAA
Vicia villosa (hairy vetch) is the source of this 438-nucleotide long non-coding RNA. RefSeq lists it as uncharacterized. The transcript has 2 exons. NCBI's taxonomy places the organism in Eukaryota, Viridiplantae, Streptophyta, Magnoliopsida, Fabales, Fabaceae. The record is from RefSeq and is a predicted model, not a curated record.